GGCCCUACGGGAGGCAGCAGUGAGGAAUAUUGGUCAAUGGUCGGGAGACUGAACCAGCCAAGCCGCGUGAGGGAGGAAGGUACAGAGUAUCGUAAACCUCCUUUGUCAGGGAACAAAGGCGGGGACGUGUCCCCGGAUGAGUGUACCUGAAGAAAAAGCAUCGGCUAACUCCGUGCCAGCAGCCGCGGUAAUACGGAGGAUGCGAGCGUUAUCCGGAUUUAUUGGGGUUAAAGGGUGCGCAGGCGGUCGGUUAAGUCAGCGGUCAAAGCGCGGGGCUCAACCCCGGCCCGGCGGGGAAACU
Molecule: ribosomal RNA, 301 nt
Filed under: uncultured bacterium
Lineage: Bacteria
Description: bacterial SSU rRNA
Rfam family: Bacterial small subunit ribosomal RNA
Source: RNAcentral